Molecule: long non-coding RNA, 297 nt
Filed under: Physcomitrium patens
Lineage: Eukaryota; Viridiplantae; Streptophyta; Bryopsida; Funariales; Funariaceae
Description: long non-coding RNA (PPAT_LNC010946)
Source: RNAcentral
UGGUUAUUGAGAAGAAACAAAAAUCAAUUGUAAUUGAUUAUUUAGAGAUAACUUUGAUAACCUAAGGAAUGUAAAGUGGUUUAAUAACUACUUAGUCCAUAGAUAUCUCUAUUAGGCUUCUACUUGCGGUUGUAUUGGCUUUCAAGGCAUGAAUUAAGUCUAUCAAUAUGAAGAAAAUGUUAGAAAUUCUUAUGCAUUAUAGUGAAAUAUUGCAUGCAUAUAGGUUAAGAUUCUAUCAAGGAUAUGAAUCUCAAAGAACUAAAUUAUCAAUAUACUCAUGUUCGACUUGAAAAGACU